GAAAAUGUGUUUCAAGCAAAAGAAUAAUGAAGAAGGAGAUUCAUUAAUGAUGCAUAAUCAUGGAGAAACACCUCUAACUUAAAGUGGAAAGUUUUUGCAAUUUUCAGUAGAAUCUGCUCAAAAAGAUGAUCAGAAUAUGGACGAAAAGAAAGCACAGCAUCUCACUGAAGCAUAGUUGUAAAUGCACAAGAUGAAUACUUUAUUCCUCCUCCGAG
Molecule: unclassified non-coding RNA, 215 nt
Filed under: Hevea brasiliensis (rubber tree)
Lineage: Eukaryota; Viridiplantae; Streptophyta; Magnoliopsida; Malpighiales; Euphorbiaceae
Source: RNAcentral